Molecule: transfer RNA, 71 nt
Filed under: Pyronema omphalodes CBS 100304
Lineage: Eukaryota; Fungi; Ascomycota; Pezizomycetes; Pezizales; Pyronemataceae
Description: tRNA-Gly
Rfam family: tRNA
About the family: Transfer RNA (tRNA) molecules are approximately 80 nucleotides in length. Their secondary structure includes four short double-helical elements and three loops (D, anti-codon, and T loops). Further hydrogen bonds mediate the characteristic L-shaped molecular structure. tRNAs have two regions of fundamental functional importance: the anti-codon, which is responsible for specific mRNA codon recognition, and the 3' end, to which the tRNAs corresponding amino acid is attached (by aminoacyl-tRNA synthetases). tRNAs cope with the degeneracy of the genetic code in two manners: having more than one tRNA (with a specific anti-codon) for a particular amino acid; and 'wobble' base-pairing, i.e. permitting non-standard base-pairing at the 3rd anti-codon position.
Source: RNAcentral
ACACCGCUGGUGUAGGGGUAACAUAUUACCUUCCCAAGGUAAUGCCGUGGGUUCGAUUCCCGCGCGGUGUA